This 254-nucleotide ribosomal RNA is filed under the name uncultured bacterium. Its description in RNAcentral is "partial 16S ribosomal RNA". It matches the Rfam family "Bacterial small subunit ribosomal RNA", at positions 524 to 776 of the family's 1533-position model. The record is from RNAcentral.
UACGAGGGGGGGCAAGCGUUGUUCGGAUUCAUUGGGCGUAAAGGGUGCGUAGGUGGCGCCAUAAGUCAGGUGUGAAAUCUCGGAGCUCAACUCCGAAACUGCACUUGAUACUGUGGUGCUUGAGUACUGGAGAGGAGAUUGGAAUUUACGGUGUAGCAGUGAAAUGCGUAGAUAUCGUAAGGAAGACCAGUGGCGAAGGCGAAUCUCUGGACAGUUACUGACACUGAGGCACGAAGGCCAGGGGAGCAAACGGG